Molecule: ribosomal RNA, 646 nt
Filed under: Pseudomonas frederiksbergensis
Lineage: Bacteria; Pseudomonadati; Pseudomonadota; Gammaproteobacteria; Pseudomonadales; Pseudomonadaceae
Description: bacterial SSU rRNA
Rfam family: Bacterial small subunit ribosomal RNA
Source: RNAcentral
GGUAGCCGUAGAGUUUGAUCCUGGCUCAGUAGGCUGAGUAUGCCUAGAAUCUGCCUGGUAGUGGGGGAUAACGCUGGAAACGGACGCUAUACCGCAACGUCCUACGGGAGAAAGCAGGGGACCUUCGGGCCUUGCGCUAUCAGAUGAGCCUAGGUCGGAUUAGCUAGUUGGUGAGGUAAUGGCUCACCAAGGCGACGAUCCGUAACUGGUCUGAGAGGAUGAUCAGUCACACUGGAACUGAGACACGGUCCAGACUCCUACGGGAGGCAGCAGUGGGGAAUAUUGGACAAUGGGCGAAAGCCUGAUCCAGCCAUGCCGCGUGUGUGAAGAAGGUCUUCGGAUUGUAAAGCACUUUAAGUUGGGAGGAAGGGCAAUUACCUAAUACGUAAUUGUUUUGACGUUACCGACAGAAUAAGCACCGGCGAACUCUGUGCCAGCAGCCGCGGUAAUACAGAGGGUGCAAGCGUUAAUCGGAAUUACUGGGCGUAAAGCGCGCGUAGGUGGUUCGUUAAGUUGGAUGUGAAAUCCCCGGGCUCAACCUGGGGAACUGCAUUCAAAACUGUCGAGCUAGAGUAUGGGUAGAGGGGUGGUGGGAAUUUCCUGUGUAGCGGUAAAAAUGCGUAAAUAUAGGAAGGAACACCCAUUG